GACGAACGCUGGCGGCGUGCUUAACACAUGCAAGUCGAACGGAAAGGCUCUGCUUUUGUGGCGUUCUCGAGGGGCGAACGGGUGAGUAACACGUGAGUAACCUGCUCUUGACUUUGGGAUAACUUCAGGAAACUGGGGCUAAUACCGGAUAGGAGCUUCUGCUGCUUGUUGGGGGUUGGAAAGUUUCGGCGGUUGGGGAUGGACUCGCAGCUUAUCAGCUUGUUGGUGGGGUAGUGGCUUACCAAGGCUUUGACGGUUAGCCGGCCUGAGAGGGUUACCGGCCACAUUGGGCCUGAGAUACGGCCCAGACUCCUACGGGAGGCAGCAGUGGGGAAUAUUGCACAAUGGGCGGAAGCCUGAUGCAGCAACGCCGCGUGCGGGAUGACGGCCUUCGGGUUGUAAACCGCUUUCGCCUGUGACGAAGCGUGAGUGACGGUAAUGGGUAAAGAAGCACCGGCUAACUCCGUG
Molecule: ribosomal RNA, 468 nt
Filed under: uncultured bacterium
Lineage: Bacteria
Description: partial 16S ribosomal RNA
Rfam family: Bacterial small subunit ribosomal RNA
Source: RNAcentral